CGCUGACCUCGAUCAGGUAGG
This 21-nucleotide ribosomal RNA is filed under the name Longiostiolum tectonae. RNAcentral's name for it is "partial 28S ribosomal RNA". The record is from RNAcentral. Lineage: Eukaryota; Fungi; Ascomycota; Dothideomycetes; Pleosporales; Longiostiolaceae.